Molecule: ribosomal RNA, 482 nt
Filed under: uncultured bacterium
Lineage: Bacteria
Description: partial 16S ribosomal RNA
Rfam family: Bacterial small subunit ribosomal RNA
Source: RNAcentral
GACGAACGCUGGCGGCGUGCUUAACACAUGCAAGUCGAACGAUGAAGAAGAGAAACGCGAACUUCGGUUCAAAUUUCACUUCGGAUUAGUGGCAGACGGGUGAGUAACGCGUGAGCAACCUACCUCUUACAAAGGGAUAGCCUCGGGAAACCGUGAUUAAUACCAUAUGACACAUUCAUAAGGCAUCUUAAGAAUGUUAAAGCUACGGCGGUAAGAGAUGGGCUCGCGUCCCAUUAGCUAGUUGGUGAGGUAACGGCCCACCAAGGCGACGAUGGGUAACCGGCCUGAGAGGGUGAACGGUCACAUUGGAACUGAGACACGGUCCAAACUCCUACGGGAGGCAGCAGUGGGGAAUAUUGCACGAUGGAGGGAACUCUGACGCAGCGACGCCGCGUGAGCGAUGAAGGAAUUCGUUUCGUAAAGCUCUGUUCUAUGGGAAGAAAAGGACUGUACCAUAGGAGAAAGCCCCGGCUAAAUACGUG